AGUGAACGCUGGCGGUAGGCCUAACACAUGCAAGUCGAACGGCAGCACAGUAAGAGCUUGCUCUUACGGGUGGCGAGUGGCGGACGGGUGAGGAAUACAUCGGAAUCUACUUUUUCGUGGGGGAUAACGUAGGGAAACUUACGCUAAUACAGCAUACGCCCUACGGGUGAAAGCAGGGGAUCUUCGGACCUUGCGCGAAUGAAUGAGCCGAUGUCGGAUUAGCUAGUUGGCGGGGUAAAGGCCCACCAAGGCGACGAUCCGUAGCUGGACUGAGAGGAGGAUCAGCGACACUGGAACUGAGACACGGUCCAGACUCCUACGGGAGGCAGCAGUGGGGAAUAUUGGACAAUGGGCGCAAGCCUGAUCCAGCCAGACCGCGUGGGUGAAGAAGGCCUUCGGGUUGUAAAGCCCUUUUGUUGGGAAAGAAAAGCAGCAGGUUAAUACCCCGCUGUUCUGACGGUACCCAAAGAAUAAGCACCGGCUAACUUCGUG
Molecule: ribosomal RNA, 492 nt
Filed under: uncultured bacterium
Lineage: Bacteria
Description: partial 16S ribosomal RNA
Rfam family: Bacterial small subunit ribosomal RNA
Source: RNAcentral